UUGGCCAAUAGGAAAUCAAGACAAGUGAGGCUAGGAGUCGAGGAGGAUUCUGGGAAAUGUAGUAAAGACAGGAAUCGUCAUGUGAUCCUGGCAAGAGAGGAUGCACGCUGCUGCCGUCCUUGAAUAAAGCAAGCCUACUCUCAAACAUUAAACAUUCUCUUCCUGCUCUACUGUCCUGGAACUUCUGUGCAUCAGCAAGCACAAUCGAGGGUAGAGACGUGGAUAGUGGCAUCUCAGCUCCUGGAUUUCAACCAUUCCUUCUCUAAUUUUGUGAUGUGUGAGCUCAGCAAGUGAGACUGCUAAUACUGAUUAUCAGCUUGCUAAGAUCUAGAAGACAGGUUCUCAACCCCAUUGGAGAUCAAAUGACCUUCUCACAAGGGUGAGUUCCAGGAGGAGCCCUCUAUUCAUACCCACCAGUGUUCCAUAUUCCAUGCACCAGGAGGUGCAUGUGCAAACCUCCAUUAUAAGGGCAUGGAGAUAACAAGCAGCAGGGAAGUGCAGUGGUGUGUGCACAUGGGACCAUAAAGAACAGAAGGAGUCCUGAAACAUCUGUGCUCAAGACAGCGGGGGAGGUUCUCCCUCUUUUUCUGCAGAGGGACCAACACUGGUCACAUUUUGCUUUAGUUGAACAUUUUAAUACAUUUUUGUGUGGAAAUAAAUCAGUAAGUUGAAGGAGGAA
This is a non-coding RNA of Cricetulus griseus (Chinese hamster), 679 nucleotides long. The record is from RefSeq and is a predicted model, not a curated record. NCBI's taxonomy places the organism in Eukaryota, Metazoa, Chordata, Mammalia, Rodentia, Cricetidae.